GACGAACGCUGGCGGCGUGCUUAACACAUGCAAGUCGAACGGAAAGGCCCUGCUUUUGUGGGGUGCUCGAGUGGCGAACGGGUGAGUAACACGUGAGUAACCUGCCCUUGACUUUGGGAUAACUUCAGGAAACUGGGGCUAAUACCGGAUAGGAGCUCCUGCUGCAUGGUGGGGGUUGGAAAGUUUCGGCGGUUGGGGAUGGACUCGCGGCUUAUCAGCUUGUUGGUGGGGUAGUGGCUUACCAAGGCUUUGACGGGUAGCCGGCCUGAGAGGGUGACCGGCCACAUGGGGACUGAGAUACGGCCCAGACUCCUACGGGAGGAAGCAGUGGGGAAUAUUGCACAAUGCGCGGAAGCCUGAUGCAGCAACGCCGCGUGCGGGAUGACGGCCUUCGGGUUGUAAACCGCUUUCGCCUGUGACGAAGCGUGAGUGACGGUAAUGGGUAAAGAAGCACCGGCUAACUACGUG
Molecule: ribosomal RNA, 468 nt
Filed under: uncultured bacterium
Lineage: Bacteria
Description: partial 16S ribosomal RNA
Rfam family: Bacterial small subunit ribosomal RNA
Source: RNAcentral